RNAcentral lists this ribosomal RNA (564 nucleotides) under uncultured bacterium. RNAcentral describes it as "partial 16S ribosomal RNA". It matches the Rfam family "Bacterial small subunit ribosomal RNA", at positions 355 to 911 of the family's 1533-position model. The record is from RNAcentral.
UGGGGAAUUUUGGACAAUGGGCGAAAGCCUGAUCCAGCAAUGCCGCGUGUGUGAAGAAGGCCUUCGGGUUGUAAAGCACUUUUGUCCGGAAAGAAAUCCUUGGCUCUAAUACAGUCGGGGGAUGACGGUACCGGAAGAAUAAGCACCGGCUAACUACGUGCCAGCAGCCGCGGUAAUACGUAGGGUGCAAGCGUUAAUCGGAAUUACUGGGCGUAAAGCGUGCGCAGGCGGUUUGCUAAGACCGAUGUGAAAUCCCCGGGCUCAACCUGGGAACUGCAUUGGUGACUGGCAGGCUAGAGUAUGGCAGAGGGGGGUAGAAUUCCACGUGUAGCAGUGAAAUGCGUAGAGAUGUGGAGGAAUACCGAUGGCGAAGGCAGCCCCCUGGGCCAAUACUGACGCUCAUGCACGAAAGCGUGGGGAGCAAACAGGAUUCAGAUACCCUGGUAGUCCACGCCCUAAACGAUGUCAACUAGUUGUUGGGGAUUCAUUUCCUAGUAACGUAGCUAACGCGUGAAGUUGACCGCCUGGGGAGUACGGUCGCAAGAUUAAAACUCAAAUUGAAUU